GACGAACGCUGGCGGCGUGCCUAAUGCAUGCAAGUCGAACGCAGCAGCUCCGGCUGGCUGCGUGGCGAACGGCUGAGGACCACGUGGGUGACCUACCCCGGAGUGGGGGAUACCCCGUCGAAAGACGGGAUAAUCCCGCAUACGCUCUACGGAGGAAAGCCCCUUCGGGCGCUCCGAGAGGGGCCUGCGGCCCAUCAGGGGGGUUUGGUGUGGUAACGGCGCACCAAGCCGAUGACGGGUACCCGGUCUGAAAAGGACGACCGGGCAGACUGGGGACUGCGACACGGCCCAGACUCCUACGGGAGGCAGCAGCAAGGAUUUUUCCCCAAUGGGCGCAAGCCUGAGGGAGCAACGCCGCGUGGAGGACGACGGCCUUCGGGUUGUAAACUCCUUUCGGGGGGGACGACACCGACGGUACCACCAGAAGCAGCCCCGGCUAACUCUGUGCCAGCAGCCGCGGUAAAACAAAAGGGGGCAAGCGUUGUCCGGAGUUACUGGGCGUAAAGGGCGCGGGAGGCGGUCUGGCGGCGUCGGCGCUGAAAGCGCCCCGCUUAACGGGGGCGAGGGCGUGCCGAUACGCGCAGACUAGAG
Molecule: ribosomal RNA, 591 nt
Filed under: uncultured bacterium
Lineage: Bacteria
Description: bacterial SSU rRNA
Rfam family: Bacterial small subunit ribosomal RNA
Source: RNAcentral